AUUUUUAUAGUGUAAACACAACACCCUACAUUUUCAUUGUAGAAACGGCUAAUACCCUAAAAAUU
Molecule: transfer RNA, 65 nt
Filed under: Abacion magnum
Lineage: Eukaryota; Metazoa; Arthropoda; Diplopoda; Callipodida; Callipodidae
Description: tRNA-Glu
Source: RNAcentral